RNAcentral lists this unclassified non-coding RNA (240 nucleotides) under soil metagenome. RNAcentral describes it as "partial contains 5.8S ribosomal RNA, internal transcribed spacer 2, and large subunit ribosomal RNA". The record is from RNAcentral.
AACUGAUACUACCUGCGGGAACCUGCGGAGGGAUCAUUACCGAGUCCGGGUCUUGCUCAGGCCCGACCUCCAACCCUUGUGUUAACCAUACCACGUUGCUUCGGCGGGCCCGCUCCUUUUCGGGGAGCCGCCGGGGGUUCUUCUAGCGACCUCUGGCCCGUUGCCCGUCGGUGGCCAACAUUCAAACUCUUGAUGAAAAACGUGUCGUCUGAGUAUAAACCAUAAAAUUAAAGCAAAAAA